UGGCGAGUAAAGAUCUGUGGU
This 21-nucleotide non-coding RNA is filed under the name Arabidopsis thaliana (thale cress). Lineage: Eukaryota; Viridiplantae; Streptophyta; Magnoliopsida; Brassicales; Brassicaceae. The record is from RNAcentral.